AACGAACGCUGGCGGCAGGCUUAACACAUGCAAGUCGAACGCCCCGCAAGGGGAGUGGCAGACGGGUGAGUAACGCGUGGGAAUCUACCGUACCCUACGGAACAACUGUUGGAAACGACUGCUAAUACCGUAUACGCCCUUAGGGGGAAAGAUUUAUCGGGGUAUGAUGAGCCCGCGUUGGAUUAGCUAGUUGGUGGGGUAAAGGCCUACCAAGGCGACGAUCCAUAGCUGGUCUGAGAGGAUGAUCAGCCACAUUGGGACUGAGACACGGCCCAAACUCCUACGGGAGGCAGCAGUGGGGAAUAUUGGACAAUGGGCGCAAGCCUGAUCCAGCCAUGCCGCGUGAGUGAUGGAGGUCUUAGGAUUGUAAAGCUCUUUCACCGAUGAAGAUAAUGACGGUAGUCGGAGAAGAAGCCCCGGCUAACUUCGUGCCAGCCGCCGCCGUAA
Molecule: ribosomal RNA, 447 nt
Filed under: uncultured bacterium
Lineage: Bacteria
Description: partial 16S ribosomal RNA
Rfam family: Bacterial small subunit ribosomal RNA
Source: RNAcentral